This 232-nucleotide long non-coding RNA is filed under the name Sorghum bicolor (sorghum). RNAcentral describes it as "long non-coding RNA (SBIC_LNC017740)". The record is from RNAcentral. Lineage: Eukaryota; Viridiplantae; Streptophyta; Magnoliopsida; Poales; Poaceae.
ACGCGUUCGGUGGUCACACAGUCCCCGAGAUCAUUGAAUGGGCAAACUUGUCGGCCAGUCCCCGAGCGUAUCAUGCUCGGUGGUCAGUACUGUAAUAGAACCGCCCAAAUUAUAAGAGAUUAAGUCUGAUAGUAACCAUUUGUGCAGUCGAACCAUCGAGAUUAAGCCCAUAUAAUCCCGGUAGUCCGUGAAAUCUCGAAGGAUUUCAAACCAUAACUCAUACAUACAGCCA